This 253-nucleotide ribosomal RNA is filed under the name uncultured bacterium. Its description in RNAcentral is "partial 16S ribosomal RNA". It matches the Rfam family "Bacterial small subunit ribosomal RNA", at positions 524 to 776 of the family's 1533-position model. The record is from RNAcentral.
UACGAAGGGGGCUAGCGUUGCUCGGAAUCACUGGGCGUAAAGCGCACGUAGGCGGUUUGUUAAGUCGGGGGUGAAAUCCUGGAGCUCAACUCCAGAACUGCCUUCGAUACUGGCGAUCUUGAGUCCGGGAGAGGUGAGUGGAACUCCGAGUGUAGAGGUGAAAUUCGUAGAUAUUCGGAAGAACACCAGUGGCGAAGGCGGCUCACUGGCCCGGUACUGACGCUGAGACGCGAAAGCGUGGGGAGCGAACAGG